This 2569-nucleotide long non-coding RNA is filed under the name Zea mays. RNAcentral's name for it is "long non-coding RNA (ZMAY_LNC001058)". The record is from RNAcentral. Lineage: Eukaryota; Viridiplantae; Streptophyta; Magnoliopsida; Poales; Poaceae.
GGUCGUGUGACCCGCGCACCUCGCAACCGAAUCCAUCGAGCUCUCCUAGGAAUCCGGCGACCCUUGUUCCGAUUCCCUCCCAACCGACUGUAAAAAAGCGGGUGCUAGAGACCCCUCCCACUCGCCCGUCCUUAUCGUAGCAGGCCGGGAGCCCUCAGCCGCAGAGCGAAAGCCGGGAAGAAAGCUCCGUCGUGGUGCAGCUCGUUGUGUUUAUGCCUUGGCGCAUGGGUGCUCGGGAUGUUUCGUUGAAUGCCUGUGGAUGUUGCCGUGUGGAGUUGGGGGGCUACAGACGAUCGAUGUUCAACGAAUUUCUCCCCGGAGAUUAACUCCGCCGCAGAUCAAGGCUAUCCUGUGGCCAGUAGUCUUUAUCGCACCAAUUCCGGUGAGUUUCCUCCCAUUCGAUUCGUGCUGGCAUUAGAGUCGUUUAGCGCAUUUUAAUUUAUCAAUUAGUGCACCAAGGCGCGAUGGCGGAUUUGCCGGUCAUGGCGCCACCGUUAGGGCUGGCGACGUCGCCGUCGGGAUGGUUAAAGGAGAGAAGAAAGGGUGCGACCGUUGAUAUUGGGAUUAACAGUAGAGAUCUGAUCCAUGUACCGGUUUAGGAUGAUGCAACCGUAGCCGUCCGAUCUGGAUCCCGCGACCUAGAUUCGAUCUCGGACACUUUCAAUCAAUGUCGUGGAUCUUUGAUCUAACGGACAUCAGGGCGUACCGGUUCGAGUAAUGGGAAAUCUAAUCUGAGGCGCAAAUUUCUGACCUGACGACCCACUAUCGUCGAUACCCCUUCGAUCUGGAAAUCUUUCUAAAGAGCCCCAUUCCUUUUGUCAUAUCAAACUGCAGUCUACUGGAUAUGUAAAGUAAUUACAGACAAGUCCUGUAAACCUAUAAACAGAACCCUGAACUCUCUGGUUAUUGUGCGCGCAGUCCUGAAAUCUGAUAAAAUAGGAAAAAGGAUUUAGGAAAUUGAUUUCUAGUGCCAAAAUAAUUCCAGAACUUGUAUAAUUCAUAGAAAAUUCAUUUUAGCUCCUUUUUAACCCAUUACAGUUGCAAUAAUUUUGUAUUAAUAUUGUCUAUCAACUAGUAACAAUGUUUAGCCAUGUAACUUGGAAUAAAAUUGUUCAUUUGAAUUAAUCUAUUCUAUGUGCUUAAUAACUUCAUAAAUUCAUCACUUAAUAAUCGUAGCUCCGAAUUUAGUAAUUCUUGUUCCUACGAUCUCAUUACAACACGUGGAAUAUUCUUAUGCAGUUUGUUCUUCUGUUUGGUGUGAUGUUAAUUUUUCCUAUACACUGUUUGUUUGUAUUGCUACGACUAGCGCGAGGUUACGAGUCACUUGAAGAGCAAGUUGGUACCUACAAUCUCAAGUUUCAGGCAAGUUGUGCCCUUGAUCACUUCUUUUACCCUAUCAUGUUCUCAAUAAUUAUAAUUAUUUGCAUAGGUUAAUUUUGAUGGGACCCAAUAGAUUACCCUAGUUUGACUAUCUUUAUACCUUGUUUACCACUGAAUUUUGGGUAGUACCUGCUAUUGCUUUAUGUGGUUUUGGGUAUAGAGAUACACAUUAUUCAUGAUUAUACUUUUAUUAUCAGUUGUUAUUUACUGUUCAUGAUAAAUCAUUAUGUUAAUUGGAACAUGGAGAACCACCCGGGAAAACAGUGCUAUCACAAGGGUGGUAUGGGACGCCCUUGGCUGACUAAUUAGUAAAGCUAGUGGAGGACUAAACAGUGCUAUCACAAGGGCAGUAUGGGAGUGGUCAGUGUGGGGAGGCCCUUGGGUUGAUUUUGCUGCGAUGGCGGUCAGGCGAGGGGUCCCUGCAUUGGAGCUUCCUAGAAACUGUAGCGGGUUUUCUGAAGCUAGUGGAACUUUGUAAAGGCCUCGUAGUGUUACCCUGCCUCGCCUCCUCGGUAGAGGUGUAUGGGAGUCGCUAUCCCUUGGCAAAUGGGUAACAUGACUUGUGUGUAAAGAUGCGCAACCUCUGUAGAGUGUAAAACUGGUAUACUAGCCGCGCUCACGGUCAUGAGCAGCUCGGACACUCACAUGAUUAAUUUAUCGAACUAAAUUCAAUUUAUCAUAUGCAUUGCAUCGCAUGUGUUGUUAUCAAAUUUUGUUCUACUACUUAAUUUGGUUGGUAUUUACUUAUACUUAGUAAUUGCUAAUAAAAUUUUGAUCAACUUUAAAAGCAAUGCUCAGCUUCAACCAUCCUUUUUGGUAAGUCUUACACUUCACAUGAACUCCCACCUUUGGUGAGUUUUUACACAUUAUUCCCCACAACUUGUUGAACAAUGAAUGUAUGUGAGCUCACUCUUACUGUCUCACACCCCCUCCACUGGUCAAGAACAGGUACCGCGGGAUGUGGCGCAUGGCAGAUGUUGUGAUGUGUUCGUGAGAGGUCUAGGUCGUCGUCUCCCAGUCAACUUUGGGUUGCUAGAUCGUUGUCUUCAUGUGAUGUAAUUAUAUAUUUAUUCUGUACAGAACUCCUAUUAUAUAGUAAAGAUGUGACAUUUGUUUCCAUACCACUAUUCAUCAUAUGUGUGAGACUUGGUCCCAGCACACCUGGUGCUUAUUUCGCGCCCGGGUUUUG